GACGAACGCUGGCGGCGUGCCUAAUACAUGCAAGUUGAGCGCUGAAGGUUGGUACUUGUUCCAACUGGAUGAGCAGCGAACGGGUGAGUAACGCGUGGGUAAUCUGCCUUUGAGCGGGGGACAACAUUUGGAAACGAAUGCUAAUACCGCAUAAAAACUUUAAACACAAGUUUUAAGUUUGAAAGAUGCAAUUGCAUCACUCAAAGAUGAUCCCGCGUUGUAUUAGCUAGUUGGUGAGGUAAAGGCUCACCCAGGCGAUGAUACAUAGCCGACCUGAGAGGGUGGUCGGCCACAAUGGGACUGAGACAAGGCCCAAACUCCUACGGGAGGCAGCAGUAGGGAAUCUUCGGCAAUGGAGGAAAGGCUGACCGAGCAACGCCGCGGGAGGGAAGAAGGGUCUCGGAUCGUAAAACUCUGUUGGUAGGGAAGAACGUUAGUGGGAGUGGAAAGCUCAUCAAGUGACGGUAACUACUCAGAAAGGGACGGCUAACUACGUG
Molecule: ribosomal RNA, 497 nt
Filed under: uncultured bacterium
Lineage: Bacteria
Description: partial 16S ribosomal RNA
Rfam family: Bacterial small subunit ribosomal RNA
Source: RNAcentral